AGGAGCUUGCGUCACAUUAGUUAGUUGGUGGGGUAAAGGCCUAACAAGACUAUGAUGUGUAGCCGGGCUGAGAGGUUGAACGGCCACAUUGGGACUGAGACACGGCCCAAACUCCUACGGGAGGCAGCAGUAGGGAAUUUUCGGCAAUGGAGGAAACUCUGACCGAGCAACGCCGCGUGAACGAUGAAGUAUUUCGGUACGUAAAGUUCUUUUAUUAGGGAAGAAUAAAUGAUGGAAAAAUCAUUCUGACGGUACCUAAUGAAUAAGCCCCGGCUAACUAUGUGCCAGCAGCCGCGGUAAUACAUAGGGGGCAAGCGUUAUCCGGAAUUAUUGGGCGUAAAGGGUGCGUAGGCGGUUAAAUAAGUUUAUGGUCUAAGUGCAAUGCUCAACAUUGUGAUGCUAUAAAAACUGUUUAGCUAGAGUAAGAUAGAGGCAAGUGGAAUUCCAUGUGUAGUGGUAAAAUGCGUAAAUAUAUGGAGGAACACCAGUAGCGAAGGCGGCUUGCUGGGUCUUUACUGACGCUGAGGCACGAAAGCGUGGGGAGCAAACAGGAUUAGAUACCCUGGUAGUCCACGCCGUAAACGAUGAGUACUAAACGUUGGGUAAAACCAGUGUUGAAGUUAACACAUUAAGUACUCCGCCUGAGUAGUACGUACGCAAGUAUGAAACUUAAAGGAAUUGACGGGACUCCGCACAAGCGGUGGAUCAUGUUGUUUAAUUCGAAGGUACCCGAAAAACCUCACCAGGUCUUGACAUGCUUCUGCAAAGCUGUAGAAACACAGUGGAGGUUAUCAGUUGCACAGGUGGUGCAUGGUUGUCGUCAGCUCGUGUCGUGAGAUGUUGGGUUAAGUCCCGCAACGAGCGCAACCCUUAUUGUUAGUUACCAGCACGUAAUGGUGGGGACUUUAGCAAGACUGCCAGUGAUAAAUUGGAGGAAGGUGGGGACGACGUCAAAUCAUCAUGCCCCUUAUGACCUGGGCUACAAACGUGAUACAAUGGCUGUUACAAAGGGUAGCUGAAGCGCAAGUUUUUGGCGAAUCUCAAAAAAACAGUCUCAGUUCGGAUUGAAGUCUGCAACUCGACUUCAUGAAGUUGGAAUCG
This 1101-nucleotide ribosomal RNA is filed under the name Chinch bug-Cactus male plant phytoplasma. Its description in RNAcentral is "bacterial SSU rRNA". It matches the Rfam family "Bacterial small subunit ribosomal RNA", at positions 225 to 1334 of the family's 1533-position model. Lineage: Bacteria; Bacillati; Mycoplasmatota; Mollicutes; Acholeplasmatales; Acholeplasmataceae. The record is from RNAcentral.